ACUCCUACGGGAGGCAGCAGUGGGGAAUAUUGCACAAUGGGGGAACCCUGAUCCAGCCAUGCCGCGUGUGUGAAGAAGGCCUUUUGGUUGUAAAGCACUUUAAGCGAGGAGGAGGCUUACCUGGUUAAUACCCGGGAUAAGUGGACGUUACUCGCAGAAUAAGCACCGGCUAACUCUGUGCCAGCAGCCGCGGUAAUACAGAGGGUGCAAGCGUUAAUCGGAUUUACUGGGCGUAAAGCGCGCGUAGGUGGCUAAUUAAGUCAAAUGUGAAAUCCCCGAGCUUAACUUGGGAAUUGCAUUCGAUACUGGUUAGCUAGAGUAUGGGAGAGGAUGGUAGAAUUCCAGGUGUAGCGGUGAAAUGCGUAGAGAUCUGGAGGAAUACCGAUGGCGAAGGCAGCCAUCUGGCCUAAUACUGACACUGAGGUGCGAAAGCAUGGGGAGCAAACAGGAUUAGAUACCCUGGUAGCUACGAGU
This 474-nucleotide ribosomal RNA is filed under the name uncultured bacterium. RNAcentral's name for it is "bacterial SSU rRNA". It matches the Rfam family "Bacterial small subunit ribosomal RNA", at positions 335 to 800 of the family's 1533-position model. The record is from RNAcentral.